UCGACGAUGAUGCCCUGCUUGCAGGGUGGAUUAGUGGCGAACGGGUGAGUAACACGUGGGUGAUCUGCCCCGCACUUCGGGAUAAGCCUGGGAAACUGGGUCUAAUACCGGAUACGACCCCCUGGUAGAUCAGGGGGUGGAAAGAUUUUAUCGGUGUGGGAUGAGCCUGCGGCCUAUCASCUUGUUGGUGGGGUAAUGGCCUACCWAGGCGUCGACGGGUAGCCGGCCUGAGAGGGUGAUCGGCCACAUUGGGACUGAGACACGGCCCAGACUCCUACGGGAGGCAGCAGUAGGGAAUAUUGCACAAUGGGCGCAAGCCUGAUGCAGCGACGCCGCGUGGGGGAUGACGGCCUUCGGGUUGUAAACUCCUUUCGACAGGGACGAAGCUUAUGUGACGGUACCUGUAGAAKAAGCACCGGCUAACUACGUGCCAGCAGCCGCGGUAAUACGUAGGGUGCGAGCGUUGUCCGGAAUUACUGGGCGUAAAGAGCUCGUAGGUGGUUUGUCGCGUCGUCUGUGAAAUCCCGGGGCUUAACCUCGGGCGUGCAGGCGAUACGGGCAUAACUUGAGUGCUGUAGGGGAGACUAGAAUUCCUGGUGUAGCGGUGAAAUGCGCAGAUAUCAGGAGGAACACCAAUGGCGAAGGCAGGUCUCUGGGCAGUAACUGACGCUGAGGAGCGAAAGCAUGGGUAGCGAACAGGAUUAGAUACCCUGGUAGUCCAUGCCGUAAACGGUGGGCGCUAGGUGUAGGGGACUUCCACGUCUUCUGUGCCGCAGCUAACGCAUUAAGCGCCCCGCCUGSGGAGUACGGCCGCACGCUAAACUCAAAGGAAUUGACGGRGCCGCACAGCGGCGGAGCAUGUGGAUURAUCGAUGCA
RNAcentral lists this ribosomal RNA (877 nucleotides) under Corynebacterium sp. PF2-14. Its description in RNAcentral is "bacterial SSU rRNA". It matches the Rfam family "Bacterial small subunit ribosomal RNA", at positions 62 to 958 of the family's 1533-position model. The record is from RNAcentral. Lineage: Bacteria; Bacillati; Actinomycetota; Actinomycetes; Mycobacteriales; Corynebacteriaceae.